GCCGGGUGCGGUGGCAUGUGCCUGUAAUCCAAGUCACUGGGAGGCUGAGGUUGGUGGAUCAAGUGAGCUGAGGAGCUCUGGGCUGCAGCACGCUAUGUCGAACGGGUGUCCACGCUAAAUUCGGUAUCGAUAUGGUGUUCCUGGGGGAGCCCGGGACCACCAGGUUGUCUAAGGAGGGGUGAACCGGCCCAGGUCGGAAACGAAGCAGGUCAAAUCCCCCGUGUUUUCCAGUAGUGGGAUAAUACAUGUGAGUAGAUGCUGCAGUGCAGCCUUGGCAAAACAUCGAGACCUAAACUUUU
Molecule: unclassified non-coding RNA, 299 nt
Organism: Oncorhynchus mykiss (rainbow trout)
Lineage: Eukaryota; Metazoa; Chordata; Actinopteri; Salmoniformes; Salmonidae
Rfam family: Metazoan signal recognition particle RNA
About the family: The signal recognition particle (SRP) is a universally conserved ribonucleoprotein. It is involved in the co-translational targeting of proteins to membranes.
Source: Ensembl